GCGGUCGUGGCGGAAUUGGCAGACGCGCACGGUUGAGGGCCGUGUGCCGCGAGGCGUGUGGGUUCAAGUCCCACCGACCGCACCA
RNAcentral lists this transfer RNA (85 nucleotides) under Eubacteriales Family XIII. Incertae Sedis bacterium. Its description in RNAcentral is "tRNA-Leu". It matches the Rfam family "tRNA". From Rfam's summary of the family: Transfer RNA (tRNA) molecules are approximately 80 nucleotides in length. Their secondary structure includes four short double-helical elements and three loops (D, anti-codon, and T loops). Lineage: Bacteria; Bacillati; Bacillota; Clostridia; Peptostreptococcales; Anaerovoracaceae. The record is from RNAcentral.